ACACCUGCCAAAAAAGGUUGGCUCCCACUGCCACAAGAUUUGUCUGUAUGCUCACAUCAGUCUCUUGAUCUUCUUCAAAGCCAAUACACCCUACCGAGAUUUUGAAUACAAGUCUGUGGGCCUGUCUUUUCUAGAAGAUCAAAUGAGAGCUGUCUGCAGCUCCUUUUAAAUUUGUCUAUCAAACCUGAGGGCUUUGCACAUAUAUAUGUAAUAGGCACCAGCUGUAUUGCUAAAGCAAAAAUGCUUUUCUGUUAUUGGGUUCCUCAGACUUCUGGGCAUAGAUGUUGAGUUGUACCCCUGAAAACUCCCAUUUUCUGUUGGAAUCAGAUUCUGCAGAAGUUGCAUAAGAAAGAACCACUUUAAUUCUGGUCACCUGGAAUUGGUCUUGGUCCCAUGAAGAAGGGAAGUCAAGGAGUGGUAGAACGUGCAGCCUAGAGAGACUACAGGGAAUGUCAAGCUCUUUAUAAAAUGUAAGGCAUUCAGGCCUGACUUCCUGAGGUGCUGAACAGAUGGCGAUCCCAUUGACUUCAAUCUGGAUGAAUGCUCCCUACUUCUGGUGAAACUAUAAGGCCUUAUUACGCCCUUCCGUCUGAAGUGCCUUUGCAACUGGAUGAGUCUAUAAGAGCACUGACAUAUCAAAUGAAAACUCAGAUGCUCCUGAAUCUGAGGAGGGGUUGGCAGUGCCUGUAGGUAUUCCUCUAACCCUAGUGGCCGACUUGCACCAAGUGGCAUAGGCAGCUACAAUGUGUGGCAGGUGAGUCUUGGGCUCUCAGUAAAAGGCAGGCGCCAGAAUGGCAGCAGGGCAGGGGCAGAAUGCUGCUGUGAGAGGUGUUAAGUGUCACCACCAAGAGCCUGCACAACCCUCUUCUGCUCCUGUGGCUGUUGCUGAAUUCAGGGCUCUGAAUCCUUGCCCACUAUAUAAAACAACAGCAGUUGCAGGGCCAGAAAAGAGUUAAACUGGCUCUUGGUGGUGACAUCUUCUCUUGUAGUGGUGUUCUGCUCCGUGCAGCUGCAGCCCGAGGCUCAAAUAUUCCCUCUGCCCUCCAUCUUGGGACCCCAGAGCACAAGCUCUAGAGUCUAGAGGGAAAGGAUCAGUGACACUUGGGAAGAAGAGGGGGGUCAGGUUAACUUGUGGCACAUCCACCCAAAAGGUUGGCGGUCACUGAUUGUUCUAUACCAGGGGUAGGCAACAUGUGAAGAUACUGGAUCUGGCCUGCAGCAACUGCAGAAAUCAGCAAGCUGCAGCCACAGCAGCAGAGGAAGCAUCUCCAGGGGUGUAUCACCUAUCACAUUCAGUUUAUUCUCGCUGCUGCAGCAAAGAGGCAUCCUCAGGUCCUAGCACCUGAUUUUAUUUAUCUAUUCCCCUUGCAGAAUCUCCUGAACACUGGGGAGUGCAGGAAUGCAGCCCACGUUGGGGACAGCAUCACAAGCAGCAGCCCAUGGUGGUACAAGGUUACAGGGAAUAUAAGAACAGUAAGAAGUGAACAGGGAAGGACUGUUCACCUGCUAUGUGCAAUCUUCACUCAUCAGAGCAUGGUGUUCAGCUGCAACAGAGAACAGAUGCAAAACUUAAAUCAUGUGAAGAAAACACUUUUUUUUUGUGAGAGUUUGCCAAGAAAGAUGUUACCAGAACACUGCAGUGCAGAUGGUGCAUUAUCAGCUAACGCACUUGGACUGGAGAAAUCUGGGAAGGGAAGUGCUGUCUGUGAUGACAUCAGCCCUUGAUGGGAUCCCUCAGGCCUGCUGUCUUGGCUCUUCUGUUCUCCUGACAGCGCUGUCCAGUGCAUUACUCCACCAUGGAUCCUCAUGACACUACAGCUUUAUUGCCUCAGGAAGCCAAGGUAUUAGGAGCGAGGGAGCCCCAAGCUCUUAUACGUUGGUGUAGAGGAAAUAGGCUAUCUUUAGCUCCAGGCUCCCUGUAGCACCCCUACUUCUCCGCACAAAAUCUUCUGCCCACCCACAAUCUCCUCUAGUGUACCUCUGUUGUUGCUGCUGUUCCCAUGUGUCUUUGAGGUUACCCAGUGGCUUUGAAUGCUAUCUCUCCUCCUGACCUUCUGUCCU
Molecule: long non-coding RNA, 2061 nt
Organism: Gavialis gangeticus (Gharial)
Lineage: Eukaryota; Metazoa; Chordata; Crocodylia; Gavialidae
Exons: 4
Source: RefSeq, a predicted model, not a curated record